RNAcentral lists this ribosomal RNA (228 nucleotides) under uncultured bacterium. RNAcentral describes it as "partial 16S ribosomal RNA". It matches the Rfam family "Bacterial small subunit ribosomal RNA", at positions 107 to 334 of the family's 1533-position model. The record is from RNAcentral.
UGAGUAACACGUAUCCAACCUGCCUCAAAGAGGGGGACAACAGUUGGAACGACUGCUAAUACCGCAUAAGCCCACGGCUCGGCAUCGAGCAGAGGGAAAAGGAGCAAUCCGCUUUGAGAUGGCCUCGCGUCCGAUUAGCUAGUUGGUGAGGUAACGGCCCACCAAGGCGACGAUCGGUAGCCGGACUGGGAGGUUGAACGGCCACAUUGGGACUGAGACACGGCCCAG